CGCCCCAAGAAGAAUCCGACGAUCAGAAAGAAUUUUUCGGCUCCGACGAUCAAAGGUGGUCUCAAAGGUAAAUGUUUCUAUUUUAUUGUCCACUGUUCUUCUAAAAAUCAACUAAUGAGUGAAAAUUUUGCUGUCGUUUCAGAAUAUUCUGAUGAUUGAAUAUAAUAUUCUGAUGAUCAAUUCGAUGAACACCAAAGAAUGUGGCCCCCAGAUAAUAGAUCAGUAUAAAGUAUGUU
Molecule: long non-coding RNA, 236 nt
Filed under: Elaeis guineensis (African oil palm)
Lineage: Eukaryota; Viridiplantae; Streptophyta; Magnoliopsida; Arecales; Arecaceae
Description: long non-coding RNA (EGUI_LNC031986)
Source: RNAcentral